CCCUUAGAUGUUCUGGGCCGCACGCGCGCUACACUGAUGCAUUCAACGAGUUUUACCUUGGCCGAGAGGCCUGGGCAAUCUUUUAAACCUGCACCGUGAUAGGGAUAGAUUAUUGCAAUUAUUAAUCUUGAACGAGGAAUUCCUAGUAAACGCAAAUCAUCAAUUUGCAUUGAUUACGUCCCUGCCCUUUGUACACACCGCCCGUCGCACCUACCGAUUGAAUGGUCCGGUGAAGCCUCGGGAUUGUGGCCAGUUCACUUUAUUGGGAGUUGGCUGUGAGAACUUGUCUAAACCUUAUCAUUUAGAGGAAGGUGAAGUCGUAACA
Molecule: ribosomal RNA, 325 nt
Filed under: uncultured eukaryote
Lineage: Eukaryota
Description: partial 18S ribosomal RNA
Rfam family: Eukaryotic small subunit ribosomal RNA
Source: RNAcentral